CCGUAAACCUAACCAACUCCUCUCUCGGGCACGCGGGCGUUUCCUCUUCGAAUGGCUUGUUCGAACUGUUUCACAUCCUUGCGCUGCCGCAUUCCUAUCUCUUCUUCCCUUCAAUCACUCGCUAUCAGAUCCAGAUCCGCUGCGUCAUCUGCUUUCUUCGCCGUCGGCGCAGCGGCGCCCUGCCCGAUCCCCCGCGUUUCAUUGCUCUCUGCGUCAGUUCUCUCCGGUUGCUGCAUCAUUGACAUUUCUGUCGGUGUAUUAAUUGAAGUUUUUUUUGGGGGGUGAUAUAUGAUGAAGACUUCCAGUGGAAUUGAGGAGCUGCGGCGGGUCUCUGUUCCCGUUACACAGCGCGGUGGCGGUAGAGAGGCUGACAACGCGUGUGAGGACGACGUACUGCAGCAACCGAUCUCUCUCACAGGGUAUCCUCUGCCGCACCUCACCUGGACCUUAGUGUUGUUCUCUCACUUUCGCCUCCAGAGAUGGGUCUUCCAGUUAGACGGUAGAGACCUGAUCAAUGAAGUCCUUCUGACCUGCUCAACUACGGCGGAUGAACUGUUAGAAUUCUUUUCACUUUUGUGGAAUCAUUUUGGUGAAGGUGGAUUACACAAUAAGGAUAUCGUCAACAAUUUCAAGGUCUCGAUGAACUUCUUUAACUUCAUUGUCAUUUGCCCAAUUUUUUGGGAUAUAUUUCUCCAUAUCCAGAAAGAAAUUCUCGACAAUGGCUGAAUGAGUGGUUCUCUUGUUGCUGAAGAAGCAUUGCUCUUUCCUCAGUUGGCUUCCUGCGUUGCAUCCAUUGUUCUCCAGUAUGCUUCUAAUUGUCGAAAUAUGCUUGAGCUUUUAAAAUAUUUGGUGCAAAACUUCAUGCGACAUCAGAAGCCUACAACACUCAAAAUUGGUUGAACGCUGUACACACGAUAAGGGAACCAAAGCUGCUGGUGUGGUGCCUAUGCGGUACAAUGACGGUCAACGCUUUGGUGAAGGUCGACGUCUCAUGCAUCGUAAUUUCUUCAUGAAACCGAAUCGAGGGCUAGUUAGACUUUUAACUCAAGGCGAGAUCACCACUCCUCGAUUUCAUCCCUCCUUUCCUUGUUUCUGAAGUCAAGCUUUGCAAAUUUAGUUGAAUACUUUUAACUUUUUCACACACAAUUCC
Molecule: long non-coding RNA, 1150 nt
Organism: Zingiber officinale
Lineage: Eukaryota; Viridiplantae; Streptophyta; Magnoliopsida; Zingiberales; Zingiberaceae
Exons: 3
Source: RefSeq, a predicted model, not a curated record